AUACGUAGGGGGCGAGCGUUGUCCGGAAUGAUUGGGCGUAAAGGGCGCGUAGGCGGCCCGGUAAGUCUGGAGUGAAAGUCCUGUUUUUAAGAUGGGAAUUGCUUUGGAUACUGUCGGGCUUGAGUGCAGGAGAGGUAAGUGGAAUUCCUAGUGUAGCGGUGAAAUGCGUAGAGAUUGGGAGGAACACCAGUGGCGAAGGCGACUUACUGGACUGUAACUGACGCUGAGGCGCGAAAGUGUGGGGAGCAAACAGGAUUAGAUACCCUGGUAGUCCACACUGUAAACGAUGAAUGCUAGGUGUAGGGGGUAUCGACCCCUUCUGUGCCGCAGUCAACACAAUAAGCAUUCCGCCUGGGGAGUACGGCCGCAAGGUUGAAACUCAAAUGAAUUGGCGGGG
This 397-nucleotide ribosomal RNA is filed under the name uncultured bacterium. RNAcentral's name for it is "partial 16S ribosomal RNA". It matches the Rfam family "Bacterial small subunit ribosomal RNA", at positions 523 to 918 of the family's 1533-position model. The record is from RNAcentral.